AUCUAAUAAAGAAUUGUUUUUGGUUGUGGAAGAGGAUACUCGUUAUUUUCCAAAUGAUUAAAAAUAGUAAUACAAUGUGUGUUAUGCACUAGGAGGCAACAACAAUGGAACAAGGUACAGUUAAAUGGUUUAAUGCAGAAAAAGGUUUUGGAUUUAUCGAACGCGAAAACGGAGACGAUGUAUUCGUACAUUUCUCAGCUAUCCAAAGCGAAGGCUUCAAAUCUUUAGACGAAGGUCAAAAAGUAACUUUCGAAGUUGAGCAAGGUGCACGUGGAGCUCAAGCUGCUAACGUUCAAAAAGCUUAAUUUUUAAAAUUAAAUCGUAACCUAUAUGAACAGACUUCCUCGAUGGGAGUCUGUUUUU
Molecule: unclassified non-coding RNA, 363 nt
Filed under: Peribacillus simplex
Lineage: Bacteria; Bacillati; Bacillota; Bacilli; Caryophanales; Bacillaceae
Description: Bacillus simplex cspA
Rfam family: cspA thermoregulator
Source: RNAcentral